Molecule: ribosomal RNA, 268 nt
Filed under: uncultured bacterium
Lineage: Bacteria
Description: partial 16S ribosomal RNA
Rfam family: Bacterial small subunit ribosomal RNA
Source: RNAcentral
CGUCCGGCGACCGGCGCACGGGUGAGUAACACGUAUGCAACCUGCCCUCUUCAGGGGGACAACCUUCCGAAAGGGAGGCUAAUCCCGCGUAUAUCGGUUUCGGGCAUCCGAGAUCGAGGAAAGAUUCAUCGGAAGAGGAUGGGCAUGCGGCGCAUUAGCUAGACGGCGGGGUAACGGCCCACCGUGGCGACGAUGCGUAGGGGUUCUGAGAGGAAGGUCCCCCACACUGGUACUGAGACACGGACCAGACUCCUACGGGAGGCAGCAG